AACGCUGGCGGCGUGCUUACACAUGCAAGUCGAACGUGAAGCCCGGUACCUAGUAUUGGGUGGAAAGUGGCGGACGGGUGCGUAACACGUUGGUGACCUGCCCCGAGGUGGGGGAUAACCGUGGGAAACCACGGCUAAUACCCCNGGAUGCCAAAGUAUUUAGAAAGCUUUGGCUAAAGCUCCGGCGCCUCGGGAGGGGCCUGCGGGCUAUCAGCUUGUUGGUGGGGUAAUGGCCUACCAAGGCAAAGACGGCUAGGGGGCGUGAGAGCGCGACCCCCCACAAUGGAACUGAGACACGGUCCAUACUCCUACGGGAGGCAGCAGUGAGGAAUAUUGCGCAAUGGGGGCAACCCUGACGCAGCAACGCCGCGUGGAUGAUGAAGGCCUUCGGGUUGUAAAAUCCUUUUCCGGGGGAAGAAUCAUGACGGUACCUCGGGAAUAAGUCCCGGCUAACUACGUGCCAGCAGCCGCGGUAAAACGUAGGGGGCGAGCGUUAUCCGGAUUUACUGGGCGUAAAGCGCACGUAGGCGGCGCUGUAAGUUGGGCGUGAAAGCUCCCGGCUCAACUGGGAGAGGUCGUUCAAAACUGCAGUGCUUGAGGUUGGAAGAGGAGAGUGGAAUUCCCGGUGUAGUGGUGGAAUGCGUAGAUAUCGGGAGGAACACCAGUGGCGAAGGCGGCUCUCUGGUCCAACCCUGACGCUGAGGUGCGAAAGCGUGGGGAGCGAACGGGAUUAGAUACCCCGGUAGUCCACGCUGUAAACGAUGGAUACUAGGUGUGGGAGGUUACUUACCCCUUCCGUGCCGUAGCUAACGUGAUAAGUAUCCCGCCUGGGGACUACGGCCGCAAGGUUAAACCUCAAAGGAAUUGACGGGGGCCCGCACAAGCAGCGGAGCGUGUGGUUUAAUUCGAUGAUACGCGAAGAACCUUACCUGGGCUUGAAUGUUGGUAGUAGUGAAGCGAAAGCGGAUCG
RNAcentral lists this ribosomal RNA (970 nucleotides) under uncultured organism. RNAcentral describes it as "bacterial SSU rRNA". It matches the Rfam family "Bacterial small subunit ribosomal RNA", at positions 32 to 1014 of the family's 1533-position model. The record is from RNAcentral.